This 480-nucleotide ribosomal RNA is filed under the name uncultured bacterium. Its description in RNAcentral is "bacterial SSU rRNA". It matches the Rfam family "Bacterial small subunit ribosomal RNA", at positions 11 to 490 of the family's 1533-position model. The record is from RNAcentral.
GUUUGAUCCUGGCUCAGAUUGAACGCUGGCGGCAUGCCUUACACAUGCAAGUCGAACGGUAACAGGUCUUCGGAUGCUGACGAGUGGCGAACGGGUGAGUAAUACAUCGGAACGUGCCCGAUCGUGGGGGAUAACGCAGCGAAAGCUGUGCUAAUACCGCAUACGAUCUACGGAUGAAAAGCGGGGGAUCGCAAGACCUCGCGCGGACGGAGCGGCCGAUGGCAGAUUAGGUAGUUGGUGGGAUAAAAGCUUACCAAGCCGACGAUCUGUAGCUGGUCUGAGAGGACGACCAGCCACACUGGGACUGAGACACGGCCCAGACUCCUACGGGAGGCAGCAGUGGGGAAUUUUGGACAAUGGGCGCAAGCCUGAUCCAGCCAUGCCGCGUGCAGGAUGAAGGCCUCGGUUGUAACUGCUUUGUACGGACGAAAAGACGUACUCUCUAAUACAGGGGUGAAGUGACGGUACCGUAAGAAUAAG